ACUUAUUUAAAGAUGAUGAAGCAGUGACCAACAAAAUAUAUUUACUUUUGGCACAGGGUUACGUCUUGACUACGUGGUUGGUGGUGGAAGGUUUUUGACAUAAUUGAUGGGUUAAAUUUUGGUGAUUUUAUUAUGUCUUAUCUUUUACUUGUCAAUGAUCACAACAUGUAAGGAACAAUAAUGCUUGUAACAGUGAUGCUCUCUCUUUCUGUCUUUUCUUCCCUUUCUCUUUCAUAGAAAUUUAAAAGGUUAUUUGUUACGUCAGUCUUUUUUCACUCCAACAAAAGGCCUUUUACUAUCUAAAUCCUCUAUAAUUUUAUAUAGUUUAACGAAAGUAUGUGUGCAUAUGACAACCUGUCAAGAAGAUAUAGAGAAC
Molecule: long non-coding RNA, 376 nt
Filed under: Amphimedon queenslandica
Lineage: Eukaryota; Metazoa; Porifera; Demospongiae; Haplosclerida; Niphatidae
Description: uncharacterized LOC109593362, transcript variant X3
Source: RNAcentral